Molecule: small nucleolar RNA, 106 nt
Filed under: Gossypium hirsutum (cotton)
Lineage: Eukaryota; Viridiplantae; Streptophyta; Magnoliopsida; Malvales; Malvaceae
Description: Plant small nucleolar RNA R71
Rfam family: Plant small nucleolar RNA R71
About the family: R71 is a member of the C/D box family of snoRNAs containing the C (UGAUGA) and D (CUGA) box motifs.
Source: Rfam by way of RNAcentral
AAUCCAUGGUGGGGGUAGCUUCUCAAUAAAUCUUGUAUCUCUCACAUGCAUCAUAUAGUGUUUCUAAGUCCAUUUGUACAAAAGAAGAGAUAUCAUUCCUUAACUU